This 253-nucleotide ribosomal RNA is filed under the name uncultured bacterium. Its description in RNAcentral is "partial 16S ribosomal RNA". It matches the Rfam family "Bacterial small subunit ribosomal RNA", at positions 524 to 776 of the family's 1533-position model. The record is from RNAcentral.
UACGUAGGGGGCAAGCGUUGUCCGGAUUUAUUGGGCGUAAAGAGCGUGUAGGCGGCCAGACAGGUCAGCUGUGAAAACUCGAGGCUCAACCUCGAGACGUCGGUUGAAACCGUCUGGCUAGAGUCUGGAAGAGGAGAGUGGAAUUCCCGGUGUAGCGGUGAAAUGCGUAGAUAUCUGGAGGAACACCGGUGGCGAAGGCGGCAUCCUGGACCGAGAUUGACGCUGAGGCGCGAAAGCCAGGGGAGCAAACGGG